Molecule: ribosomal RNA, 460 nt
Filed under: uncultured bacterium
Lineage: Bacteria
Description: partial 16S ribosomal RNA
Rfam family: Bacterial small subunit ribosomal RNA
Source: RNAcentral
CCUACGGGAGGCAGCAGUGAGGAAUAUUGGUCAAUGGACGCAAGUCUGAACCAGCCAUGCCGCGUGCAGGAAGACGGCUCUAUGAGUUGUAAACUUCUUUUGUACGAGGGUAAACUCAGAUACGCGUAUCUGUCUGAAAGUAUCGUACGAAUAAGGAUCGGCUAACUCCGUGCCAGCAGCCGCGGUAAUACGGAGGAUUCAAGCGUUAUCCGGAUUUAUUGGGUUUAAAGGGUGCGUAGGCGGUCGGUUACGUUAGAGGUGAAAUUCCGAGGCUCAACGUCGGAAUUGCCGUUGAUACUGGGCGGCUAGAGAGUAGUUGCGGCAGGCGGAAUGUAUGGUGUAGCGGUGAAAUGCUUAGAGAUCAUACAGAACCCCGAUUGCGAAGGCAGCUUACCAAGCCACUUCUGACGUUGAGGCACGAAAGCGUGGGGAGCGAACAGGAUUAGAUACCCCAGUAGUC